GGGGAGAGGGAGAGGGGACAGAGCUGCCCCGUCCUGCUGGUGCACGUGGAGCAGGAGCUGCUCCUGUACGAGGCCUUUUCCCACGACUCCCAGCUGGGCCAGUCCAACCUCAAGGUCCGAUUCCGGAAGGUCCCCCAUGGAAUCAACUUCCGCGAGAAGAAACCGAAACCGUCCCGGAAAAAGCCGGAAGGGCCGGGGGGGGG
Corapipo altera (White-ruffed manakin) is the source of this 203-nucleotide long non-coding RNA. RefSeq lists it as uncharacterized. The record is from RefSeq and is a predicted model, not a curated record. Lineage: Eukaryota; Metazoa; Chordata; Aves; Passeriformes; Pipridae. The transcript has 3 exons.